RNAcentral lists this unclassified non-coding RNA (253 nucleotides) under uncultured Rhodobacterales bacterium. RNAcentral describes it as "contains 16S-23S intergenic spacer region". It matches the Rfam family "Bacterial small subunit ribosomal RNA", at positions 524 to 776 of the family's 1533-position model. Lineage: Bacteria; Pseudomonadati; Pseudomonadota; Alphaproteobacteria; Rhodobacterales. The record is from RNAcentral.
UACGGAGGGGACUAGCGUAGUUCGGAAUUACUGGGCGUAAAGCGCGCGUAGGCGGAUGAGUUAGUUAGUGGUGAAAUCCCAGGGCUCAAUUCCGGAACUGCCUUUGAUACUGCUAGUCUUGAGUUCGAGAGAGGUGAGUGGAAUUCCGAGUGUAGAGGUGAAAUUCGUAGAUAUUCGGAGGAACACCAGUGGCGAAGGCGGCUCACUGGCUCGAUACUGACGCUGAGGUGCGAAAGCGUGGGGAGCAAACAGG